RNAcentral lists this ribosomal RNA (468 nucleotides) under uncultured bacterium. RNAcentral's name for it is "partial 16S ribosomal RNA". It matches the Rfam family "Bacterial small subunit ribosomal RNA", at positions 36 to 507 of the family's 1533-position model. The record is from RNAcentral.
UCUUCCCUCUGGCGGCGUGCUUAACACAUGCAAGUCGAACGGUGAAGGCGGAGCUUGCUCUGCUGGAUCAGUGGCGAACGGGUGAGUAACACGUGAGCAAUCUGCCCCUGACUCUGGGAUAAGCGCUGGAAACGGCGUCUAAUACUGGAUACGAGCUGCGAAGGCAUCUUCAGCAGCUGGAAAGAAUUUCGGUCAGGGAUGAGCUCGCGGCCUAUCAGCUUGUUGGUGAGGUAGUGGCUCACCAAGGCGUCGACGGGUAGCCGGCCUGAGAGGGUGACCGGCCACACUGGGACUGAGACACGGCCCAGACUACUACGGGAGGCAGCAGUGGGGAAUAUUGCACAAUGGGCGAAAGCCUGAUGCAGCAACGCCGCGUGAGGGACGACGGCCUUCGGGUUGUAAACCUCUUUUAGCAGGGAAGAAGCGAAAGUGACGGUACCUGCAGAAAAAGCGCCGGCUAACUACGUG